GGCAGCCUGCCCUGUGCGAUUUGAUGCGCCAUAUAUUUAAUCCUACUAACCAUUUAAAGGGAGCCCGGAGUCCUAUGUGAGGGGAUCGCAGACCUCCCGCCCGGCCUUGGCCGCAAGCGGAGGAAGGGAGCGUGAAACUCCGGCAGGGCACCCACCUGCCAUUUCGGUAGGUUUUGGUGUGGCGCAGACGGCAGGGCAGGUUACUG
This is a non-coding RNA of Subdoligranulum sp. 4_3_54A2FAA, 206 nucleotides long. NCBI's taxonomy places the organism in Bacteria, Bacillati, Bacillota, Clostridia, Eubacteriales, Oscillospiraceae. The record is from Rfam.